Molecule: ribosomal RNA, 553 nt
Filed under: Sepedon sphegea
Lineage: Eukaryota; Metazoa; Arthropoda; Insecta; Diptera; Sciomyzidae
Description: partial 12S ribosomal RNA
Source: RNAcentral
AUUGUUGCCAGCAGUCGCGGUUAUACAAAUAAUACAAGUAAACUUGUUUGGUAGCAGAAAAAUUAAUUAAAUAAAUAAUUAAUUAUGUUAUUAGGUGAAAUUUUAACAUAUAAAUAGUUUUUUAUAAAGUAAUUGAUGCUGAAAAAUUUUUAUAAUAAACUAGGAUUAGAUACCCUAUUAUAAAAAAUGUAAUUUUAUUGCCAGAGUAGUAGUAGUUAUGGUCUUGAAACUUAAAGAAUUUGGCGGUAUUUUAGUCUAUUCAGAGGAACCUGUCCUAUAAUCGAUAUUCCACGAUGGACCUCACUUCUGCCUUGUAAUCAGUUUAUAUACCGUCGUUAUCAGAAUAUUUUUAAAGAAAGAUAAUUUUCAAUAAUUAUUAUUAUAAUUUAUUUCAGAUCAAGGUGUAGCUUAUGGAGAAGAAGAGAUGGGUUACAAUAAAAAUAUUUAAACGAAUAUAAUUAUGAAAAAAUUAUUGAAGGUGGAUUUGAAAGUAAAAUUGUAAAGAUAAACAAUUUGAUUUUAGCUCUAAAAUAUGCACACAUCCGCCCGUCGC